GGGGGUGUGGCUCAGUGGUAGAGCUCUCGCCUAGCAUGUGUGAGGCACUGGGUUCAAUCCUCAGCACCACAU
RNAcentral lists this transfer RNA (72 nucleotides) under Marmota marmota marmota (Alpine marmot). It matches the Rfam family "tRNA". From Rfam's summary of the family: Transfer RNA (tRNA) molecules are approximately 80 nucleotides in length. Their secondary structure includes four short double-helical elements and three loops (D, anti-codon, and T loops). The record is from Rfam by way of RNAcentral. Lineage: Eukaryota; Metazoa; Chordata; Mammalia; Rodentia; Sciuridae. RNAcentral also lists the same sequence under 1 other name.